This 464-nucleotide ribosomal RNA is filed under the name uncultured bacterium. RNAcentral describes it as "partial 16S ribosomal RNA". It matches the Rfam family "Bacterial small subunit ribosomal RNA", at positions 339 to 795 of the family's 1533-position model. The record is from RNAcentral.
CUACGGGGCGCUGCAGUGAGGAAUAUUGCACAAUGGGGGAAACCCUGACGCAGCAACGCCGCGUGAGUGAAGAAGGCUUUCGGGUCGUAAAGCUCUGUCAGAUAGGAAAAAAGUUCAUAUGUAAAUAGCUUAUGAAUCUGAUGGUACUAUCAGAGGAAGCACCGGCUAACUCCGUGCCAGCAGCCGCGGUAAUACGGAGGGUGCAAGCGUUGUUCGGAAUUACUGGGCGUAAAGGGCGUGUAGGCGGUAUGGUAAGUCAGAUGUGAAAGCCCUGGGCUUAACUCAGGAAGUGCAUUUGAUACUGCCAUCCUUGAGUAUGGGAGAGGAGAGUAGAAUUCCCAGUGUAGAGGUGAAAUUCGUAGAUAUUGGGAGGAAUACCCGUGGCGAAGGCGACUCUCUGGACCAAUACUGACGCUGAGACGCGAAAGCGUGGGGAGCAAACAGGAUUAGAUACCCCCGUAGUC